Molecule: ribosomal RNA, 252 nt
Filed under: uncultured bacterium
Lineage: Bacteria
Description: partial 16S ribosomal RNA
Rfam family: Bacterial small subunit ribosomal RNA
Source: RNAcentral
UACGUAGGGGGCAAGCGUUAUCCGGAAUUAUUGGGCGUAAAGAGUACGUAGGUGGCAACCUAAGCGCAGGGUUUAAGGCAAUGGCUCAACCAUUGUUCGCCCUGCGAACUGGGAUGCUUGAGUGCAGAAGAGGAGAGUGGAACUCCAUGUGUAGCGGUGGAAUGCGUAGAUAUAUGGAAGAACACCAGUGGCGAAGGCGGCUCUCUGGUCUGCAACUGACGCUGAGGCUCGAAAGCAUGGGUAGCGAACAGG